This 253-nucleotide ribosomal RNA is filed under the name uncultured bacterium. RNAcentral's name for it is "partial 16S ribosomal RNA". It matches the Rfam family "Bacterial small subunit ribosomal RNA", at positions 524 to 776 of the family's 1533-position model. The record is from RNAcentral.
UACGUAGGGGGCAAGCGUUGUCCGGAUUCAUUGGGCGUAAAGAGCGUGUAGGCGGCCAGGUAGGUCGGUUGUGAAAACUGGAGGCUCAACCUUCAGAGGUCGACCGAAACCAUCUGGCUAGAGUCCGGGAGAGGAGAGUGGAAUUCCCAGUGUAGCGGUGAAAUGCGUAGAUAUUGGGAGGAACACCAGUGGCGAAGGCGGCUCACUGGACUGGUACUGACGCUGAUGCGCGAAAGCGUGGGGAGUAAACAGG